AGAGGGUGCAAACGUUGUUWGGAAUUACUGGGCGUAAAGCGCGUGUAGGCGGCGAUGCAAGUCGGAUGUGAAAGCCCUCGGCUCAACCGGGGAAGUGCACUCGAAACUGCAACGCUAGAGUCUCGGAGAGGAUCGUGGAAUUCUCGGUGUAGAGGUGAAAUUCGUAGAUAUCGAGAGGAACACCGGUGGCGAAGGCGGCGAUCUGGACGAUGACUGACGCUGAGACGCGAAAGCGUGGGGAGCAAACAGGAUUAGAUACCCUGGUAGUCCACGCCGUAAACGAUGGGUGCUAGGUGUCGCGGGCUUUGACCCCUGCGGUGCCGCAGCUAACGCAUUAAGCACCCCGCCUGGGAAGUACGGCC
RNAcentral lists this ribosomal RNA (362 nucleotides) under uncultured bacterium. Its description in RNAcentral is "bacterial SSU rRNA". It matches the Rfam family "Bacterial small subunit ribosomal RNA", at positions 527 to 887 of the family's 1533-position model. The record is from RNAcentral.